AAGUCGUAACAAGGUUUCCGUAGGUGAACCUGCGGAAGGAUCAUCAAUGAAAUACUUGAUAUUUUUCUCUACACCCCCCUUUUGUGUCACCGAUCGUGGGAUGAAGGACCCAAAAAAUCUCUUUUUUGUCGUUUGUCCCACGCUUUUUUUUCCUUCUUCACAACCCUUUUUACCCCCUUUUUACUCUUAUAUACCCAAAAUAUAAAAAACAAAAGACAACUUUUAACAACGGAUCUCUUGGCUCUC
This 246-nucleotide unclassified non-coding RNA is filed under the name fungal sp. RNAcentral describes it as "partial internal transcribed spacer region". The stretch from base 1 to 46 matches the Rfam family "Eukaryotic small subunit ribosomal RNA", at positions 1786 to 1831 of the family's 1831-position model. Lineage: Eukaryota; Fungi. The record is from RNAcentral.